CCCUUAGAUGUUCUGGGCCGCACGCGCGCUACACUGACGAAUUCAACGAGUUUAUAACCUUUGCUGGGAGGCAUGGGUAAUCUUGUAAACGUUCGUCGUGAUGGGGAUAGAUUAUUGCAAUUGUUAAUCUUCAACGAGGAAUUCCUAGUAAACGCAAGUCAUCAGCUUGCAUUGAUUACGUCCCUGCCCUUUGUACACACCGCCCGUCGCACCUACCGAUUGAAUGGUCCGGUGAAUUCUUCGGACUGCGGCUUUGACUCGAUUUCGGUCGAGGCGUUGCUGCGGGAAGUUGAUUAAACCUUACCAUUUAGAGGAAGGUGAAGUCGUAACA
RNAcentral lists this ribosomal RNA (331 nucleotides) under uncultured eukaryote. RNAcentral's name for it is "partial 18S ribosomal RNA". It matches the Rfam family "Eukaryotic small subunit ribosomal RNA", at positions 1470 to 1796 of the family's 1831-position model. The record is from RNAcentral.